AAUGAACGUUGGCGGCGUGGAUUAGGCAUGCAAGUCGCGCGACAAGGAACCUUCGGGUUCUGGAGGAGCGGCAAACGGGGUAGUAAGGCAUCGGAACGUACCCUCUUGUUGGGAAUAGCCGCGGGAAACUGCGAGUAAUGCCCAAUAAUCCCUACGGGGCAAAGGUCCGCCGCAGGAGGAGCGGCCGAUGUGAUACCAGCUAGUUGGUGAGGUAAUGGCUCACCAAGGCUUAGACGUCUAGGGGGUGUGAGAGCAUGGCCCCCACCGCUGGGACGUGAGAUACUGCCCACGACACCUACGGGUGGCUGCAGUCGAGAAUCUUCGGUCGAAUGGGCGGCAAGACCUCGACCGACGCAACGACC
This 362-nucleotide ribosomal RNA is filed under the name uncultured bacterium. RNAcentral's name for it is "bacterial SSU rRNA". It matches the Rfam family "Bacterial small subunit ribosomal RNA", at positions 29 to 398 of the family's 1533-position model. The record is from RNAcentral.